CCCUAUUAUUAGGGAGUUAAAUUAAAAUUAGGGAGUAAUUUAAACUGAAAACUAUCUAGAAUGGCGGUUUUUUUUAUUUUCAGAUAAAUGUGUUUUGAAAACGAAACUGCACGAACAUCUUUCUUGAUUUAGAACUUAUCCAUCCGUUACACCGCCGUCUGAAGAAUCAAGUUAGUAAAUUAAUUCUACCUCUUUCUUAAAGAAAUAAGUCAGGUCAGGUGACGACUAUGAUCAAGAAAAAAUGCAUUUCAUUAAAACUAACAAGGAGAGUUUGAAAGAACCAAUCUAAGAAGAAUUUGAAAGUAGGCCUUUUUAAUUAAAAAAUGUCGAAUUAAUACUAAAAAAAUGUACACAUCGCCC
This 360-nucleotide ribosomal RNA is filed under the name Columbicola malenkeae. RNAcentral's name for it is "partial 12S ribosomal RNA". Lineage: Eukaryota; Metazoa; Arthropoda; Insecta; Psocodea; Philopteridae. The record is from RNAcentral.